This 423-nucleotide long non-coding RNA is filed under the name Felis catus (domestic cat). RNAcentral's name for it is "lncRNA (ENSFCAG00000050705.1)". The record is from RNAcentral. Lineage: Eukaryota; Metazoa; Chordata; Mammalia; Carnivora; Felidae.
AACAGUAAUAAAAAGAUAAAUGGACUACACCAAAAUUUCUGUUUUUGGCAGGUCUAAACGCCGUCAAGGAGUGCUUUUUCCUAUGUGAAACUGAGAAGAGAUGGAGUUUCUGCCUUGUAAAGGACAAGUCUUUGAGUCUUGGCAAAGGAAGAAGCCAGGGGAACCUUUACUCUGUAGAAGGUGAAUGUUCUUGGCUGUGAUGGAAGUAACCCGGCAGUUUCAUGGGCCUCAUUCUUUCCAUCUCACACAUUGAAAAGACCGCCCAGGACAGCUGCCAAGACAUCCAGGUCCCUGUGGCCUCUGCAAGCAGCACUCAGGACACUUUGUGGAAGCUGCAAAAUGGGGAUCAUUAAAGUAUUUGUCUCUGUGGAUGGAGUUGACUGGAACCAUAUGAAGGAUCACUAAGCAGUAAGAGGACUGGAU